This is a long non-coding RNA of Juglans microcarpa x Juglans regia, 1728 nucleotides long. RefSeq lists it as uncharacterized. Lineage: Eukaryota; Viridiplantae; Streptophyta; Magnoliopsida; Fagales; Juglandaceae. The transcript has 2 exons. The record is from RefSeq and is a predicted model, not a curated record.
UUAAGGAGAUAUGGCAACAAGACGGGCAGAGCGCUUGCGAGAAGUUGUUUGUCUAUAUAUAGCCCUUUUAUUUUAAAGAGUCACACGGUGAAUUAAAGAUCUACAUUUCAUUUCAAAAGUUUGGAAAGCUCUUUAAUUUGUCCUUUAUCUCAGUGCAUGCGCAUAAAGCUUGCAGGACGAGUACUUCUAGCUAGCUCGUUCUUUUAUUCUCAGGAAGUUUCAGAAUAGCAACUUGAUAUAUAGAUGGCAGGACAAUCAGCAAGUUUUGAAAACAAUCAGGAACAUGGGGCUAAAAAGCUGUCCAAAGAAAUCGCAGGUAUGAUAAAAACUUAGAGACACUCCCAGCAUCAACAUCUAAACAUUGUUGUAUCUACAAGGUUUCAGAUCACAUUCGCAAAUCGAACGAAGAAGCUUAUACUCCUCAGGUAAUAUCAAUUGGGCCUUUCCAUCGUAAUAAUCCAAAAUUGCAAACCAUGAAAAGGUUUAAAUUGAAUUAUCUAAAGAGUUUCAAGGAAAGAGCUGAAAUAGAGUUGGAAGAUAUAGUAAGCACUAUAAAAGGUGCGGAAGAAAGUGUUUGGGAAAGUUAUUCGGAGACUAUAUCACUUGACAGUGAUGAUUUUGUGAAAAUGAUCCUGCUUGAUGCCAGCUUCAUUAUCGAGUAUUUCUGGAAAAACAAGACGCUAAACUGGACCGACAGUGACCAAGAAAUAUUAGAGCCGUGUUUGUGCAAUAGGAUGCAGAUGGACCUUCAUAUUACUUGAAAAUCAGCUUCCUUUCUUUAUUACUGCAGAAAAUAUAUGACAUUGCAUUUCCAUCUCGCUCAAAAAACAACCCCUUCAUUGGGCUUACCUUUCGCCAGUUCGAAUAUUACAACGUUCAAAUUUCCCAAUAUUCUCCGUCAACAAAAAUAUUGCACUUCACUGACUUGGUUAGAAACUUUUGCAUGCCUCCUAGCGAAAGGCGACCGAAAGGAGAGUCUCAAAAGAUGAAGGAAAUGUACAGUGCAACCCAGCUGGAUGAGGUAGGAUUGAAGUUUAAGAUGAGCAAACCAAGCUCUAAUCUCUCACCUCUUGAACUAAAAUAUGUGGAGGGAGUGCUGGAAGUCCCACGCUUUUAGUUAGACGAUACCACGGAGAUUUAUGCUCGAAACCUCAUUGCCUUGGAGAAAUAUCACUAUCCUUAUAAAGAUGAGGCAUAUAUUACUGAUUACUAUACCAUGUUAAGUUUCCUUAUCAAAACAGACAAAGAUUUGGAUGUACUUGUACGAGAGCAGAUCAUCGAUAAUUGGCUGGAUGGCGUCGUGGCAACUUCAAUGAUCAACAAGCUGUCCGGCGAAACACGUUUCUAUAUCAAAAUAAACUCUCAUUAUCACACGAUGGCUGAAGAGUUGAACAAAUUCUAUAUUAGUCCCUGGAAUCUCAUCCCUAGCUUGAAACGUGCUUUAUUUCGCACGAAUUUGGCCGGUACUAUUACCAUAUCUAGUGCUGUUGGGUUAAUCCUCACAGGGGUUGAAUCUGCAUGCUCUGUUCUAUCGCUUAAGUACUUUUAAGUUUUUUUUAUUUUUAUUUUUUUAAGUAUUUUAAAGCUUGUAUAAUUCUAAUUAAGCUUGUUUAUUUAAAGCUAGCCCCUUGGUGGCUCGUGCUAGUAGUACCCCGCAUGGGCUAGGGGCUUGCCUUGUAUGAAGAUUAGUCGGGGUGUAUUUGGUAAUAAAAUAUGAAUAUUUAUUUA